UGGGGAAUUUUGGACAAUGGGCGAAAGCCUGAUCCAGCCAUGCCGCGUGUGUGAAGAAGGUCUUCGGAUUGUAAAGCACUUUAAGUUGGGAGGAAGGGCAGUAAGCGAAUACCUUGCUGUUUUGACGUUACCGACAGAAUAAGCACCGGCUAACUCUGUGCCAGCAGCCGCGGUAAUACAGAGGGUGCAAGCGUUAAUCGGAAUUACUGGGCGUAAAGCGCGCGUAGGUGGUUCGUUAAGUUGAAUGUGAAAGCCCCGGGCUCAACCUGGGAACUGCAUCCAAAACUGGCGAGAUAGAGUAGGGCAGAGGGUGGUGGAAUUUCCUGUGUAGCGGUGAAAUGCGUAGAUAUAGGAAGGAACACCAGUGGCGAAGGCGACCACCUGGGCUCAUACUGACACUGAGGUGCGAAAGCGUGGGGAGCAAAAAGG
RNAcentral lists this ribosomal RNA (429 nucleotides) under Pseudomonadota bacterium. Its description in RNAcentral is "Proteobacteria bacterium partial 16S ribosomal RNA". It matches the Rfam family "Bacterial small subunit ribosomal RNA", at positions 355 to 776 of the family's 1533-position model. The record is from RNAcentral. Lineage: Bacteria; Pseudomonadati; Pseudomonadota.